Molecule: ribosomal RNA, 498 nt
Filed under: uncultured bacterium
Lineage: Bacteria
Description: partial 16S ribosomal RNA
Rfam family: Bacterial small subunit ribosomal RNA
Source: RNAcentral
ACGAACGCUGGCGGCGUGCUUAACACAUGCCAGUCGAACGGGCCCGCCCCUGUUUUUGGGGGUGGGUUGAGUGGCGAACGGGUGAGUAUCACGUGAGUAACCUGCCCCCUGCUCCUGGAUAACUGCUUGAAAGGGCGGCUAAUACGGGGUGUGCCGGCUGGUCCGCAUGGGCCUGGUCGGGAUAGUUUCAUCUUCGGGGGUUUCGGUGGGGGAUGGGCUCGCGGCCUAUCAGCUUGUUGGUGGGGGGAUGGCCCACCAAGGCGGUGACGGGUAGCCGGCCUGAGAGGGUGGGCGGCCGCACUGGGACUGAGGCACGGCCCAGACUCCUGCGGGAGGCAGCAGUGGGGGGUAGUGCACAAUGGGCGGAAGCCUGAUGCAGCGACGUCGCGUGAGGGAUGGAGGCCUUCGGGUGGUGAACCUCUUUCUCCGGUGGUGAAGGCCCUGUCCGUUGCGGCGGGGUUGACGGUGGCCGGGUAUGAAGCGCCGGCUAACUACGUG